GAAAAUGUGCUUUGAUAAAGGCAGUUGGUGUCUUAUUAAAGAAAACUAGUGAAUUAAAGAGUUUUGGACCAUGAAUGGAGAAGCUUACUGAAAAUAAGGCCUUUCAAGUGAAGGAGAGUAAGGAAAGAAGUUGGGGUAUUCCAAGACGUGAAGAAUCCUGUCUUUUGUGUGGAAUUCAAGAUAUUGAUCAACUAUUCCCACAAGAAGAAGCAUUUGCCUCCAGGGUACCAUGGACGUGUGGCAAUAUAAAUCCAAAGGACAACUGAGGCCUAGUUAAAAA
Molecule: long non-coding RNA, 280 nt
Organism: Saccostrea cuccullata (small rock oyster)
Lineage: Eukaryota; Metazoa; Mollusca; Bivalvia; Ostreida; Ostreidae
Exons: 3
Source: RefSeq, a predicted model, not a curated record